This 2247-nucleotide ribosomal RNA is filed under the name Triticum aestivum (bread wheat). RNAcentral describes it as "partial small subunit ribosomal RNA". The record is from RNAcentral. Lineage: Eukaryota; Viridiplantae; Streptophyta; Magnoliopsida; Poales; Poaceae.
AUGCCCUGUGUGCUUCAUGUCAUCAACAGUUGUGAGUUCCCUGGAACUACCAACCAGGUCAAAACUGCAGCCCUUCGCCCAACUAAAUCAAUCACCGAGCACAAGCUAAUUGGUGUGGAUUCACUGCACACACCGUGGACUCCAGCGAGGAGCACAACUUGUAGAAUGUUCAACGUGCAAGGUACACUGUAUGUUAUGCAGUUAUCAGGGGAAUUGCAAGACUUGGAAACAGUGGAACCUACAGGGAGUGCACCUCUCACUGUGAUUUAUAGUGUUCCUGGAGUUCAAACGGCACGGCUGAAUCCAACUGUAUUCAAGUGGUCAGAUCUUUUUUGUUUUGCCACACAAUUUCUUAGUGCAAGCACUCUUGAUUUAUUACUAGCGAAGCGAGAUGCACCUACUAUGAUUGGGAAUUUGUGCUGUGAGAUUCAGAGCAGGGGAAUAAUAAUAGAGAGACCAUAUUGGCAAUUGAUUGCGGAAGUAAGUUUGGAAGCACUCAAGCUUUCAUGGCUGCCACCUCAAGGUAUUAUUUGUGUACCACUCAGAAUUUCUCUGCUGAAGAAAUCAAUUGGCAUAUCUCGACAAUUCUAUUGGGAGGGUACAAAUUCUUUUGCAGUAGUGUGGGCACUGACUUUGCAAGUGUACGAGCAUAAGAACAGAUGCAGUUUACUAGAACAUGAUACAUCAGUGGUGCUCCUUAUUGCUCAUGGUACUACUAUCGUUCAGUGCAUCCUUGUGCAUCAGGAGAGGUCCAUUGGAAGUUUGAAGAUUGAUAUGUCAACUAGAGAUAUAAUUGCAGCAUUACAUAGGAAGAAGCCAAGGCCUUGUUGGACGACAUUUUUCUAUGGCCACCAGUUACACUAUUCUGACCAGUCAGAUUCAGUUACAAAUGUUUUUCAGAACCAGCACAGAACUGAAUAUUCUAUUGGAAGAGUCAUUCUUGAGGAUUUCCAGUGGGCACCUGCUUGGUCCUUUUCCAUGGAGUUUUUGCUAUUUGGAGAUGAAUGUUCGUUUGAAGCUCUGUUGGGCUUCCACAUCUAUAGUGCGUGUUUGUUGGAUAAAAGCAUGGGGAUCACUCUAGGGAGCGAUGCAAGCUGCGGUGAAUGCAUAAUAAUCAGUCCUUGCCGUCCCCAAUUUCAACCCGAACCAUGUGAAGGUACUUGUUUCUAUAGCUUUCGUGUUGUAGUUUUUUCACGAGUUGUUCCUGCGAUGAGGCUUGCAUACUUUGAGAGGCCUGGAAUGGGGCUAUAUCAGGAAUAUAUGCAGCUGAUUGGUAUGAUUGGGAGGCAGGUUCCUGCUCUUGAUUUGUGGGCUACCAGAAUUGUGUUCCAGCCAAGGGAAACAGAGGGCGUGCAGCCUAGCGCAUAUUCCUUCUGUUUGGAAAUUUCCUUUCAACACCGCCCAUGUUUCCAACGAACAAGUUUCCAGUUCAGGAGGUGUGCUACUCUGAACCUCUCAACCACAAGCUUGGUAAUGGCAGUGGCCUUUCCACCGGUAUUUGAAGAGGGACAGACAAGUGCCAUGCUCUGUAUGGACCAGAUGAUGAUGAAAACUGGGCAUGUUAUUCAAUGUGGUCUGGAGUAUGUCCAAUGGGAGAUUGCACGGUCACUUAACUUGAAGUACAUGGAUAUCAUCAAACAGUCCAAGCAACAAAUUCUUGCCGCAACAUACCCUGAGUUAUAUUUUUCAUGGGAUCCAGGCAAUGUCGUAGCACAAAAUAUCCUGCUUCCAACCAGACCAUGGGCUCUGGCAUCAGCCAAUCGACAUGUUGCUAGGAUCUCCUCUUAUGUGCCUGUUCUUGGGGGAGAAUUCUUUGCUCCAUGGAAUAAUGGUAGCUGCAACAGGGGGAGCUGUCAUUGCAGAGUGCUAGUCUAUCUUCACAUGGACGAGUUCAGUUGCCUAAGAAUACAGUAUCCUAACGGCAAAAGGCUCAUCGGGGAAGAGUGUUCCUAUGAAAGAUUUCCUGGCCAAUGGUUCUGGAGCACUCUACUAUUGACAAGACACCUAAUUCCUGUAGAAACACUGAGGUCCUUCGCACAAGCUAAAGCUACAGCAGGGAUGAAGGUUGAAGCUCCAACCUUCUAUUGCGUCUGCUACCUUGGCCAAGACCCCGACGGCCACAACUACUACAUCGUCCUCAUUCAAGUGCAUCCCGUCAUUCGACUACGGCUACCACGACGAGCCCAUUACCACCAGCAAAAUUCAAGUGCCAUGGGAUCCUGGUGGUUCAACAUGGCGUCGGCUUGA